UGGCGAACGGGUGAGUAACGCGUGAGGAACCUGCCUCAAAGAGGGGGACAACAGUUGGAAACGACUGCUAAUACCGCAUAAGCCCACGGGUCGGCAUCGACCUGAGGGAAAAGGAGCAAUCCGCUUUGAGACGGCCUCGCGUCCGAUUAGCUAGUUGGUGAGGUAAUGGCCCACCAAGGCGACGAUCGGUAGCCGGACUGAGAGGUUGAACGGCCACAUUGGGACUGAGACACGGCCCAG
RNAcentral lists this ribosomal RNA (240 nucleotides) under uncultured bacterium. Its description in RNAcentral is "partial 16S ribosomal RNA". It matches the Rfam family "Bacterial small subunit ribosomal RNA", at positions 96 to 334 of the family's 1533-position model. The record is from RNAcentral.